Molecule: ribosomal RNA, 257 nt
Filed under: uncultured bacterium
Lineage: Bacteria
Description: partial 16S ribosomal RNA
Rfam family: Bacterial small subunit ribosomal RNA
Source: RNAcentral
UACAGAGACCUCAAGCGUUAUCCGGAAUCAUUGGGCGUAAAGCGUGCCGAUAGGUGGUUUUAUUAGUCUUGGGUAAAAGCCAGAAGCUUAACUUCUGAGUUUGCUUAAGAUACUGUAAAACUAGAGGGGCAAAGAGGUGCUUGGAACGAAUGGUGUAGUAGUGAAAUGCGUUGAUAUCAUUCGGAACACCGAAAGCGAAGGCAGAGCACUGGGUGCCACCUGACACUGCUAGGACGAAAGCGUGGGGAGCGAACAGG